RNAcentral lists this long non-coding RNA (467 nucleotides) under Citrus maxima (pomelo). RNAcentral's name for it is "long non-coding RNA (CMAX_LNC002213)". The record is from RNAcentral. Lineage: Eukaryota; Viridiplantae; Streptophyta; Magnoliopsida; Sapindales; Rutaceae.
CUACAUGGAGCUAGAGAUUGUUGAAACUUAUUCAGUAAAUAGUUUUAAGGCUUUAGCAGCUAAAGUUUAGCUAGUAAGUUCAAUAAGAAUUGUGGCACAUAACAUGAAUCAAUUGUGAUAAACAUCUUCCUUUCAUUGAGCAAUGAGCAAUUUUUUUUUUUCCAACAAUGGCAUACAGCUUUGAAUUUAUUACGUCAAGAGGAAAUCAGGAACCCAAGGCAGCUAACGGCCGUAGAACCUCAUCGAGUGAGCGUCAAUCUGGUUGAAUCCGAACCAUCAACAAGCCAAAGUCGCCGUGCUACAGAUGAUCAUGACAAACUAGAGCCUAAGGAGACUGAAGUAAAGUGAAAAGUAUGUUUGAUUUGCUUAUCGGAGUUCAAAAACAUAAAGCCAAAAGUACUUUUGCUUUGGUUGUGGAACUUCGUUUUUUAUUUUGUCUGGACUUUUUCUAUAAGCAGAUUUUCUAG